GGGGGCCCGAGCCAAGAGAUUUGCAUUGGGAAGCGCCGUCCUCUUAGGCGUCUUAGGCGUCUGGCAAGAAAGCAGAGUCGCUGACCGACUGAGCUGCAUUUCUCGAGCGUUUGCUGGGUUUUGCCUCGCUGAGCUGUGGGGAGCCCCGGGGCGGGGCGGGGAGGGCAGGGCAGGGCAGGGAACCCUGUCACUGAGCCGACACCUGCUCCUGCGCCCCCCGCCCACGCCCCGACCUCCGGCGCGGGUCGCCCUACCCUGCAGCAGCGCGGGCAGCAGUGCCCGCCCCUGCCCUCCCCGCCCAUCCUUCCUCCAGGCUGCCGGGAGGACGGCGCGAGGACUGCAGGAAGCCCUGAGAACCGGCCCAAUGGAGUGAUGAGGGGCUGCAGACCCGGGUAUUUAUCCUUCUCUGACGACGCUUGGUUGCGGAAUCGAGUUUUGAGCUCGAUGUAAAGUUUAAAUUGCAGUCUGCAAGCUGUUUCAAAGACUGAACACGUGGCAGAAAUCAUUGCCCCUCCCUCAAGGUGUCUCACCUCCCAGUGUAACUGAAAGGCUAAGGCAAGUGACCUUUUUUCCCCCCAAUCACCACAGAAUGAGCAGAGAAAGGGAAUUAAUUAUUUUAGAAAUUGGCAAGUCCGUGAACAUCUUCCAGUGAUUCCUUCUGCUAUAUCUAAAGCCCAGGGUAGCCAACAACAGUAGUAAUAAUACAGCUGACCAGGGCUGUGGAUUGAAUGGCCUCCAGUCACUGCCUCUCCUGAAUCAGCUGGAGGGGUGCCAGCUCAGCAGCCCAGGCAGCUCUUCCUAUCUCCCCUCCACCCCAUGCCCCGCCCUCUGUCUGCAAGGGUGUCCCUUCCUGUAGGCUUCCUUCCGCCUGGGCUGUCCCAUCCUGUUGAUCUGAGCCUGAGGGGUUGGAGCAGCUGGCCCUGGGCACCUGCUGCAGCAGUGGAAGCUCCCCUCUGUCCCAACCAGCCGGCAAGCCUUCCUUCCUGUCAGGAGCCGCCCCCUCCACAGGCCAGCCUUCCUUCCUGUUAGGGAGCCGCCCCCUCGGGUGGCCACAGCCAGCCAGUCCUCCAGGUCUGGACCCAGUCCCUUCUUCAGGAAUGUGGGGCCUGCUGGCAUGAUGCCUCAGCACGCUGAGAAGCAGGGAGCAUUCAUGGCUUGUGGGAGUGAUUCAAAACAGGAAAGAAAAGAAAAAAGGGGUAGGAGGAACAGUGUGGCGGUGGCACAAUUCCUAGAGAUUCAGAGAAAGAUGUUCCUCAGGCACCUCAGACUCCACAUUACCAAAACUAAAAUCAUUCCUGCUCCUUCCUGUAUGGGUUCAUCAUCUCCCAUCUAGCCUUCACCUUCUCCCUCAAGUCCUGGAUCCAGUGGUCCUCAGAUCCCAACAGUUUUGCCUUGAAAAUAUCUCUUUUCUCACUUUUCAUUUCUGUCCUUCAAUUGUUAUAUCAGGUCAGUCUGUAGCAACUGUCCCUUGGAUGAAAUAAUCUGCAAUCUUCCCAUCCAAACUCCGACCCCACCCCAGCUGUUUCAUAGUGCCCAAACUCUCCAUACUGCCAUUAGAGUGGUGUUUUGAAAGUCACCAUCUGGGAUGCCUGAGUGGCUCAGUGGUUGAGCAUCUGCCCCUGGUUCAGGGCGUGAUCCCGGAUUCCUGUGUUCGAGUCCCACAUCAGGCUCCUGGCACGGAGCCUGCUUCUCCCUCUGCCUGUGUCUCUGCCUCUCUCUCUCUCUCUCUCUCUCUCUGUCUGUCUCUCAUGAAAAAUAAGCAAAAUCUUAAAAAAAAAAACAAAAAAAGUCACCAUCCAAUCAUGACACUCCCUACUUAAAGAGGAUCCUUGGCUUCUGUUGCCUAGGAGAUAAGAGGCUAUUCCAUUCAGAGUUGUAUAGUCUGGCCCCAACUACUCUCCCCACCUAGCUCCUCUCCAACCUAGAUGUACCCUUGCCCACAGCCAUAACAAAUGACUUGCUGUUUCUCAAACAUGUGGUACAAUUCCAUAUCUCUAAGCCAUGUCCUCAUUCAGUAAACAUUGUGUUGCUGCUCAUUUAUCCAGUAUUUGUUGAACACCUACUAUGUGUUCUAGGUACCCAGACAACUGCAGGGAACAAAACAGUCCAGUCCCUGCUCUCAAAAAGCUUAGAUGGGAAGAUUAAGACAAGUCUCUCCGUGUCUCUCUCUAUAUAUAAUAUAUGUAUAUAAUAAAAUCACUUAUGAAAGUGAAGUUAACUGCAAUUCAUAGAAUUGCAAUGGGGUGAUAUGAUAAUAUGAUUGUGCCUAUAAUUGUGGUUUGGUUUAAGAGAUAAGAGAAUCUUAAAAAAAAGAGAGAGAGAGAGAGAUAAGAGAAUCUUGCUUUGAGGAAGAGACUUUUAAGUUGAAAAUCUAAUGAAAGGAUAGGCAGAUUCAGGGAUAAUGUGCUUGAGUGGAGGGAACAGCUAUGAAAGCUUCCUACCAGGAAGGAGCUUGCUUGGUGGUGCAGUGUGGCUGGAGGUUUAGAGAGUACUGGGGAAAGUGGGGGGAGGGCAGGGUUCGAGAAUGAGGCAGGAGGAGCCAGACUACUAAGGAAUUUAUAGGCCACAGUGUGAAAUACAGAUUUUCUUUAAAGUGUAACAGGAGCCAAAGUGUCUUGGAAGAAAUAUAUAUUUUCAUCUUUGAAGGGCUCCUUUGGCUCCCUUUGCUCUAUUGCCAUCUUGCUGAAGGCCUUCCUUGAUAACUUCAAGAUUAAUCCACUGUUCUCUGUUUCCGCAGCACUUUGUCCACACUCCUUGCUGGGUGCAGAGCACAUAUCACAUCUUAUGGCAGGAAGUAUUUUACAAUAUUGAUUCCUGCCCAUACUACACCCAGAUCUGAGCUCCUUGAAGGUGGUGGCCAUGUCAUAAUCUUUCUAGUCCAGUCUGUUCUAUAUUAGGCACUCAAGAUUUUUUUUUAAUGGAAGAAAUUAAAUUGUGGGUCGUUUCUGAGCACUCAAAGGAGUUACAGAAAGAAUGUGGACCAACAGCUAGGGCAGGAGUUCUAGAUCCUUCUCUACCUUACCCCUAACUUGCAUCAUUGUAGGACCACACAUGGGAAACUGUCAUCUUGGGCAUGACUAAAAAAAGUCCUGGGCAAUAGGAAGCAGGAGCUCAGAUAGAUGCUGGCCCUUCCUGCUGAUGGUGCUGGCUUCUCCUUCCAUCAGAACAAUGAAGGAAGUGGCAGUGGGACCAACAUGUAAAGAUCCCUCAGUUCAGUUUAGUGAACUGGAAUUAAAGCAUACUGUAACUGACAGCCAUAUUCUUAUUGCUCCUUCAAGUCAGUGGGUAUCAUCACCAUUCAUCCAUUGCCCCACCAUAUACCAGGCACUAGCUGAACACAGGAAUAACAAUAAAAGGUGGAAGGAACUUCCAUUAUAGCAGGAGAAGUAGGUAAGUGAGGCCGCUGUGACUAUAGAGUGUGGUAAAUACUAGGAGAGGGGUGUGCACAGAGUGUCCUAGGAGGGCAAGGAAGGGAUGAGGGAAGGCUUCCCUCAGCUGAUCCCUAAGAGAGAGGAGAAGAGGGGUGGAGGUGGAGAGUAAAGAGACUGUUGGGGAUUCAGGAUUCUCCGAAGUGUCUAGAUCACAGAUUUGAGAGGUAGGAUGAGGAGCUUAGGGUGUUAAGGGAAGCAGCCUCAAACACAAAGGGCCUUUGCAUGACAUACUAAGGAAUGUGGAAGUAGAACUUUAUUCUAAGGACAAUGGGGACCUACUGACAGAUUUAGCAAGGAGCGAUGGUAUAGAAAGCCCAGUUUGGCUCAGUGUGGAGCAUAGACCAGAGGGGUGGAGGUCUAACACCAGUGAGAAGGCUUUUUCAGUAAUGUAGGCAACAAAGAUGAUGCUAGCUUAAACGAAGGCAACGGUGGCAGGCAUGGAAAGAACAGAAUAGAAAUAGCAAGAAACAAUAGAAUUUGGCAAUUCACUGGAAGGGGGCAUGAGAGAGAGGGAGAUGUGGAGGAGGACUGCCUGGUUCUGGCUUGAUUCACUGGAUGAAACAGGACCGUAUUGCCCAACAAACAGGCCAUAGGGAGGUAGAAGGUUUUGGUGGAGAGGCAUAAAAUGCCAAAUUUGAUUUGGGACAUAUAAAGAUAAAAUUACUUGUGGGACAUCCAAAUAGAGAUGCCCAGGAGGCAGUUGGAAUUUCAGUUCUGGAGCCCAGGAGAGAAAGAUCUGGGCCAGAGAUUAAAAUCUGGGAGUAAUCAGGGUAUAGGUGGCCACUGAAGGCAGAUGAGUAGCUGCAAUCCCCUAGGAAGAGUAAACAAGAGAUAAGAGAACUGAGGGUGGGUCUCUGGAGAACUACCAGGCUCAGGAUGAAGGCUGAGAGGGAGUAGCCAUGUGGUGAAAUGUUGGCAAAGGGUGACAGCCGAGAACUUCUCUUACAUGCUCAGGAUUUAGGAUUUCUUAGCCUACUAUUACAUAGAGAUGAGAGGCAAGCAAGGGUUAAUUCAGAAAGUGAAAGUGUCACACCGAUUAGGAAAAAUCUGCUCUGUGACUAGUGAACAUUAUUUGUUAUUUUCAUUAUACUAAUUACUGUGGUUUUUAAGCUCAUUAAAAAUUUAUUUUUUUAAGAUCUUGAACUCUUAGGGGUGCCUGGUAGGCUCAGUAGAUAGAGCAUGCAACUCUUGAUCUCAGGGCUGUGAGUUCAAGCCCCACAUUGGGCAGACAUACAGCUUAAUUUAAAGAAAUAAAAAAUAGAUAAAAAAUGGUAAAAUCUUGAACUCUGUGUCCAGUAGAUUGUUGUUUCUAAAGAUGACCACAACAACCCCUUUCAUUCUGCAUAACCUUCUCCGAGGUGACUUUGCCAUUCCUGCAUGAAGAGGUGAAGUCUGUUUCGCCAACCCCUGAAUGGGGGCUGGCCCUGUGUCUUGCUUUGGCUAACAGAAUCGGGGGUGGUGCUGUGUGUGGGACUUUGUGCCUAGGUCUUAUUCGGAAGCCUUUGGAGUUUCCAUUUUAACCCUCUUGGACAGAGGCAGAAGCUGAACUACUGAAUAAGAACAUUUGAAUGGAGAAUGGCCACUUGGAGACGAGGGCACCCCAACUGACAGCCAGGCCCAGGACUCCAAGUGCAUGAGCAGGCCCACCUGGGACCCUCCAGCACCAGCCAAGCAGGCCCAGCUGACACAGCCUGAAGCAGAAAUGAGCUCUACUUGAAUUCCUGACCCCCAGAAUUGUGAAUGAUAUAUGGAACAGCAACCCCACGCAGCAUUGCCUGCCUCCCCUCUAGCGGGGAGGCACUACUCCCUGCCCCCGCCCCCAGCUUCUGCCUGUAGGAGUGUCCCUGGGUUUUGGGGUGGUUUGCUGUGCCACAAGAAAUAACUGAAACAGUGGGUGUGUGAUUGUAUCAGCUCUGGAGUGGCAGCCACAGUUUUCAAAAUAUUCAUCUUAUAAAAAUACUUUAAAAAAAUCUGAAACAGCUGGGAGAAAGCCCCAGGAAGGAAGACUAGAAAAACUGGUGAAGUAGGAAAAGCAAUUGGAAUAAGAAAUAACUUGGAAAAAUGGGUAAUAUGUAGAUCUGGAAGAAAUAUAUACCACCACUCCCCCCACCUCCAAGCACUCUACUGAGCCCUUUGCAAUGGAAGUAAAUGUAUAAUAGGAAAAAGGAAGGGCGCUUACUUUGAUGGAGGGCCUGCUAUGUACCAGUGGCUGCCUGGCACAUUAACAAUAUGGGGGACCUAAUCUGACCUGCUCUACAAAGUUCAGGGUAUAUUACAGCACUUCAUGUUAGAAUUUUUUUUGUACAGAAUUAAAGUUUUUCCACUUCCCA
Long non-coding RNA from Canis lupus familiaris (dog), 5761 nucleotides. RefSeq lists it as uncharacterized. The record is from RefSeq and is a predicted model, not a curated record. NCBI's taxonomy places the organism in Eukaryota, Metazoa, Chordata, Mammalia, Carnivora, Canidae. The transcript has 2 exons.